AUUGAACGCUGGCGGCAGGCCUAACACAUGCAAGUCGAACGGUAACAGGAAGCAGCUUGCUGCUUUGCUGACGAGUGGCGGACGGGUGAGUAAUGUCUGGGAAACUGCCUGAUGGAGGGGGAUAACUACUGGAAACGGUAGCUAAUACCGCAUAACGUCGCAAGACCAAAGAGGGGGACCUUCGGGCCUCUUGCCAUCGGAUGUGCCCAGAUGGGAUUAGCUAGUAGGUGGGGUAACGGCUCACCUAGGCGACGAUCCCUAGCUGGUCUGAGAGGAUGACCAGCCACACUGGAACUGAGACACGGUCCAGACUCCUACGGGAGGCAGCAGUGGGGAAUAUUGCACAAUGGGCGCAAGCCUGAUGCAGCCAUGCCGCGUGUAUGAAGAAGGCCUUCGGGUUGUAAAGUACUUUCAGCGGGGAGGAAGGGAGUAAAGUUAAUACCUUUGCCCAUUGACGUUACCCGCAGAAGAAGCACCGGCUAACUCCGUG
This 490-nucleotide ribosomal RNA is filed under the name uncultured bacterium. RNAcentral describes it as "partial 16S ribosomal RNA". It matches the Rfam family "Bacterial small subunit ribosomal RNA", at positions 30 to 507 of the family's 1533-position model. The record is from RNAcentral.